GAUGGAGGGAGUCGCCUGCGCCAGUCAGCUACCGUCCAAUGCGCUCACCGGGUUGCCAUUCCUCGGGGCCAACCCCUCCCCUCGCUUUGGAUCACGCAUCGGCUUGGAGGCCCCUCUGGGGUGCCGCCGGUGCAGGAGAUGUUCGUGGCCGUGCGGGCUGGGGACCAAGCGAUGGGGCUCGUGGUGCGUCCAGGUCGAGGGCUUGCUCGGCUGGCACGGGUUUUGAGCCCCGUCGAUGGAUUUCUCGAAGCUUGGCUGCAUUUUGUUUUGGAUUUAGUAUGACCCGCAUCUCUCCCCCCCUCUCUCUCAUGUUGCGGCCGAAAUCACUGUUUUGACUUAUUUGAAAAAAUUCAGCUCAAAAUGAACCAUCUUGGAAACUUAUCUGGGUUAAAGAUGAGAAAACAUGGCGAACAUAAACUUGUCUUUGAUUAUUCAUGGAACUGUGGGCAUCAAGAACCUACUCCCUCCUCUUUUGGGACCUUUUCAUUCUCAUUGAAUAUUGAAAGCUCUGUCUUGGACGGUCACUCUUUGAGUGAUAAUGAGAGGAGCUCGACUUCAGUAGUGGGGAUUGAUCUGGUGCAAGAAGACGGUGGAGCUAGGUUGUAUGAUAUAUCAAAGGCGAAUCCGAGCCCUCUCAAAUCUCAAUGCAACUAAUAUUGUGGCCUCUACACAUUUAUUUAUUCCUAUCCCCUUUUUAUGUUCAAAAGUGAUGAACUGUCGUGGUUGUGGAAUUUGUUAUCUCAUUAGGAGCAGCUACGCACAGAUCACCUCUCAUGGUGUUUGGUUUGCCUUCUCAUGAUUUUAUUGCCCAUGGUGGGAACCAGUUUGGUGCAUUCAAACUUUUUCUUUUUUACUUUUCCUUGAAUGGCUAUGAUAAUUCAGUUGUCCCUUGGAUAGUUUAUUUUAGGUUCUCUUAUCGGGUUCGGGGUCAGUUUGCUUAUUUCAAUUGUUAUUUGACUUUGAUAAUCUCUUUCUUCUACUAUACUAUUUAUCUACUUAUCAGUUUGUACUUUUGGUUACUCUCCACUUCUUUACUGGUUUCAACUUAAGGGUUAUAUAAAUCAAGUUCAGAUGUCAACAUAAUGGUUUCCUUCCUAUCAUGUUCAUGAAUGGCUCUGGUGAUAUAGCUUCCCUGCGUCGAUCUGACAUUUGUUUGGAUUUUGAAUCUUGAACAUUUAGGAGGUUGUUCUGAAUUGUUUCACUCUGUAGUGGCAGAAUUCAUGUUUCAUUUAUUGCAGGAGAUGAAAUUGAGAGGCUGAUGUAAAUUCGUUUGUUUGUAGAUUUUCUCAGUUCUAGGAUUGGAUGUUUCUGCAGUCUCUCUGUCCCUCCUGGAGGUUAGCCGAUUGAUGGAUUUGGCUGCUGAUCCCUUUGUGUUGCCUAAGUGGUGAGAUGGAAAUAAGGAUUAAACAUGACCCUGAUGCUGGGGCAAUAUUCCAAUAUGAUUAGAGGGGUAGUGUACUCCCAAAGAUGAUUUAGAAUAUGAAAAACGUUUCAUACGUAGUCAAGAAUUUGGGUUCAUGGUUGAAGUAACAAAUACACAUGUAGCUUCUAGAUUCUGUCAUUUACAAUUCUUUUUCGAUGGUAUAUUUACAACCUUUGUUGUUACAUAUAGUUUGUUUCUUAAAUAUCCUAUAAGCAUAUAUUAUUGAAUAGACUCACUUUCCUAUUUUUGUGAUAAAAUGGAAUGAAUAAUGUACAUGUUAAGGACUUUAUUUUGAUUUGGUUAUGAUUUGAGAAUGCUCACAUAUAUUUUCUGUGCUGCAUCACCCCAUUGUUCUGUGAUAGUGUCCAACUAGGGAUUUGAAUGUCAGGACCUAGCUAGUACUACGAUGUUAUCAGGUUAAUAAAUACUACUAUCUUGCUACUAGGUUCUAUGAGUAUGGCUAGGGUGAAUCUUUCCACUUUGCUCAUAGGCACCAAGAGAAUAAAUAAUUGAUCUUUCAUUCUUCAUGAAAAUAUGUCAUUUCGUUUUUAAAGAAAAAUUAUAUGAAAAAUUGUAGUAGAACACUGCUAAUUGCAAUUCCCCAUGUGUCUUGGCAUUUUAAGUGGAAUGGGAAUCUUUAAGAUGAAGUAUCAAGCGGCACGAGCACCUAUGGUUGAAUGAUGUGUUGAUAGUGUACCUAAUCCACCUGUGUUGACAAUGCAUAUAAUUUUUAAACUCAAGAUCAUAUUGUCAGCUGCAAUCUCUGUUCCCUUUUAAACUCAAGAUUUCUAAACAAGAGUAUAUACAUUGUGAACCAAAGAUAGUUCAGUAUUCAGUUUAGUUCUGCAAUUUGUUCUAUUAGACAAAUCACUAUUGUGUUGAAACCUUGUUGUGGUGUGCUGAAUCGUUUCUUUAUAUUUCUACCUGCCAGUUCUAAGCACAUAUUCUUUUCUUCUUAUUUUGUAUCUAUACAUAAGAACUCUAUUUUUCUUAUCCUUGCAGUUAUGCAUGACAUGUUGCUUAUCCACGUGGAUCUUAAGGUUUCCUCAUGCAAAUAUGUAGUGAAAGCGGUUUGAGAAAAGAAGCAAAUCGUUUGAGCCAACCUAUUUAUAUGAUGUGGAGAAUAUAAGGUUCUUGGCUUAUUGAUAUCAUCUGGUCAUUUUUAUAGGUGCCUAACUACUUAAUGAACUUUCUAGUUGUGUUGAUGACGACAAGAAGAAAAGCAUCUUUGACCAGGUUUUCCGACUUAAUUCAAGCUAUCCUGGUGGACUACCAUCACACAUCCAGAAUGCCAAAAGGCUUUUGGUAGAUUGCAACACGGGAUAAAAUCCAUAUGAUGGUUCCACACCUUCGAGAACUCGGCGUUCAGACCUCGUUGGCGCCGGCUAGAUGGGCUUGUUGGUAUUUUAUAGUUUGGUCAUAAGCAGAUUUGUUAUCUUCAAGUAAAGCUAAAUGCAGCUGAUGUUUUACAGAUUGAUAUAUACCCUAUGUAACGAAGAAGUGGGUGUUUCUAUGGAUGGAUCUGGUUUAAUGUAUGCAUAUAUAUCACACUUGAGGUCAGUUGUGUUUUCUCAGGUUUACAUAGGAAUUAAAAUUGUUUUCAGAAGCAAAAAUCUUGAAUUGGAAAUGAAACCCUUGAUGAAUUGAUGUUUGCUGAAGAAAGUCCUUGUAGAAAAGAAGAACAUGAAGCAUGUUUUCUAUUUGUACAAGUAUUUCCUUUUGUUCCUAAUUGUUGUCUAUUUCGUAUGGAAGCUUUGAAACAAAAUGAGGUGGCCUAAAAUUAAGGAUUAAUGCUUUUGAUAACUGAUUUGAGAAAACAGAUCCAUGCAAUAUAAGUAGAAGGUAGACUGAAGCAUUGAUCAUUGCUAUCCUGUACAUAGGCAGUCCAACCAAUUGCUGUGAGAGGAAUGAAGGCGACACCCAAGUUGGCAUGUGUGAAGCUUUGAUGGAGCCAUUCCUGCUCUUCCAGAGCCACAAGGAGAGCCUAAUAGUCAGGGCAGAAGUGUGCCUGGCUGUCAUACGAGAAGAAGUGUGCACAACUGAGGAGCUAGGGCGCCAAUGGUGCGGAGCCGUUCGCCAUCAAGAGGAUCAAGGCUGCCAUCAGGGACCUCCGGAUCAAGCUCACAUCUCCCUCGCCUCCGUCAACGCUUUGUGCCAGAGGGUCAUUGCUGUCCAUGAUGAGCCCGCAGCUCGCAAAGCUCAUCCAAAUGCUGGCAAGGAUGUGGCGACUCAUCGCCGGCAUGCACCGAGUGAUGUAGUGCAUGGAGCAGGAGGUGAGCGUGCUCCUCGUCGUCAGCCGCAUGGUUGGAGGGAGGCAUCAAGGGCUUGUUGCUGCCGGGGAGGACAUGUGCACAAUUUAUAUUGAUGUAUCUUAUUUUGCCAAACAACAAGAUGUGCUCCUGUUGAUGCUAUUAACCUGGCAUGGAAUUUCAGUUUCUUUCACAUGAUGUGUCAAUAGAUAUAUAGAGAUCUAGAUGAGUUGCAUUUUUGGUGGUUCCUUCUAUUAUAAAUGUCAGUUUUUUAUAGCAACAUCACAUGUACACAAAACACACUACUUAGUAUAUAUAGGACAGUGGGAGGGCGCAUCUUA
Aegilops tauschii subsp. strangulata is the source of this 4013-nucleotide non-coding RNA. NCBI's taxonomy places the organism in Eukaryota, Viridiplantae, Streptophyta, Magnoliopsida, Poales, Poaceae. The record is from RefSeq and is a predicted model, not a curated record.